Molecule: long non-coding RNA, 5466 nt
Filed under: Acyrthosiphon pisum (pea aphid)
Lineage: Eukaryota; Metazoa; Arthropoda; Insecta; Hemiptera; Aphididae
Description: uncharacterized LOC115034984
Source: RNAcentral
UACACUAUUGGAAUGACAACUAUUCGAUAAAACUAUUUGAUUAACUAUUCGAAUGAAAACUAUUCGAUAAAACUAUUCGAUAAACUAUUCGAAUAGUUUUAAAGCUAUCGAAUACAUGGUGACUAUUCGAAUGUUCGAUAAUUAUGGAAUUACUAUCGAAUAGUUCGAAUAGUGAACUACUAUCGAAUAGUUCGAUAGUGACUAUUCGAUAGUUCCCAUCACUACUUAGUAGGUCCCAGUACCACAUAGUUUCUAAAGCUGCGAGUACUAUGAGUCCAUGUACUGAAAAAUCAACUCAGGAAACAAGACAAUUAAUUGGACCUACGUCAGGUACAACUGUCACUUCCUUUUCAAUAUUUUAGCUACUGCAUUUCUCUAAGUUUUGUUCUUGAAAUGCUUGUGUUGUAUAUAUUGUGAAUAUUGUUAUUCUUAAAAUAUACAAACGUUUGAUUCAAAUUAAUCAACAAUCAUUUCGAUCUUGGAAGCACGCAGGACACUUGGCUCGAUUAGUCUAGAUUCCUGCAUACUCCUCCAUUUCUCUCUGUACAAAAUUUCCUGAGGAUAACCUACGACCAAAUGAUGAAUACAGCAUUCGGGCUCUAGAUGCCGGGUGAACCCGUUGAAAUUGAUCCAACUCCUAAUGAAUUCUUUCAUAUAUAAGCCCCCAAUAGUCCAUGAAGAGCCUUGGCUUAUAUGCCCACAUUACGCUCGCUUCUAUGAGUAUGGAUUCUCGGAUAUUACUCCAUUUUACUUUGUACAUAGUUUUCCUUGAUUGUUUUUCAACCAUAUGGUUGGUAAAUCAACUUUGCAAACGAUGGAAAUCAUUGGCCCUACGUCAGGUACCACUGUCACUUCCUCUUCGAUAUGGUAGCUAUUGCAUUUCUCUGUGUUUUCUUCUUGAAAUGCUUGUGUUGUAUAUAUUGUGAGUAUUGUUGUUAUUAAAAUAUACAAGCCAAUGGAAAAUAUUAGCUUAGUUAAGAGUUCCUUUUGACGUUCGACUCAAUGUAGUCAACAACCAUUCCAAUAUUCUAAGCACGCAGGACACUUGCCCCGAUUAGUCUAGAUUCCUGCAUACUCCUCCAUUUCACUCGGUAUAAAAUUUCCUGUGGAUAACCUACGACCAAAUGAUGAAUACAGCAUUCGGGCUCUAGAUGCCGGGUGAACCCGUUGAAAUUGAUCCCACUCCUUAUGAACUCUUUCAUAUAUAAGCCCCCCGAUAGUCCAUGAUGAGCCUUGGCUUAUAUGCCCACAUUACGCUCGCUUCUAUGAGUAUGGGUUCUAGGAUAUUACUCCAUUUUACUUUGUACAUAGUUUUCCUUGAUUGUUUUUCAACCAUAUGGUUGGUAAAUCAACUGUGCAAACGAUCGAAAUCAUUGGCCCUACGUCAGGUACAACUGUCAUGUGUUGUAUAUAUUGUGAGUAUUGUUGUUAUUAAAAUAUACAAGCCAAGAGUUCCUUUUGACGUUCGACUCAAUGUAGUCAACAAGCAUUCCAAUAUUCUAAGCACGAAGGACACUUGCCCCGAUUAGUCUAGAUUCCUGCAUACUCCUUCAUUUCACUCGGUACAAAAUUUCCUGUGGAUAACCUACGACCAAAUGAUGAAUACAGCAUUCGGGCUCUAGAUGCCGUGUGAACCCGUUGAAAUUGAUCCCACUCCUUAUGAACUCUUUCAUAUAUACGCCCCACAAUAGUCCAUGAAGAGCCUUGGCUUAUAUGCCCACAUUACGCUCGCUUCUAUGAAUAUGGGUUCUCGGAUAUUACUCCAUUUUACUUUGUACAUAGUUUUCCUUGAUUCUUUUUCAACCAUAUGGUUGGUAAAUCAACUGUGCAAACGAUCGAAAUCAUUGGCCCUACGUCAGGUACAACUGUCAUGUGUUGUAUAUAUUGUGAGUAUUGUUGUUAUUAAAAUAUACAAGCCAAGAGUUCCUUUUGACGUUCGACUCAAUGUAGUCAACAAGCAUUCCAAUAUUCUAAGCACGAAGGACACUUGCCCCGAUUAGUCUAGAUUCCUGCAUACUCCUUCAUUUCACUCGGUACAAAAUUUCCUGUGGAUAACCUACGACCAAAUGAUGAAUACAGCAUUCGGGCUCUAGAUGCCGUGUGAACCCGUUGAAAUUGAUCCCACUCCUUAUGAACUCUUUCAUAUAUACGCCCCACAAUAGUCCAUGAAGAGCCUUGGCUUAUAUGCCCACAUUACGCUCGCUUCUAUGAAUAUGGGUUCUCGGAUAUAACUCCAUUUUACUUUGUACAUAGUUUUCCUUGAUUGUUUUUCAACCAUAUGGUUGGUAAAUCAACUGUGCAAACGAUCGAAAUCAUUGGCCCUACGUCAGGUACCACUGUCACUUCCUCUUCAAUAUUAUAGCUAUUGCAUUUCUCUGUGUUUUGUUCUUAAAAUGCUUGUGUUGAAAAUUAUAUUUAUAUUUUUUUAUUCAAAAUUCGUACUUUUGAAGGUUUCUUCGUAGUCCUCCUCACUUAGUAGGUCCCAGUACCACAUAGUUUCUAAAGCUGCGAGUACUAUGAGUCUAUGUACUGAAAAAUCAACUCAGGAAACAAGACAAAUAAUUGGACCUACGUCAGGUACAACUGUCACUUCCUUUUCAAUAUUUUAGCUACUGCAUUUCUCUAAGUUUUGUUCUUGAAAGGCUUGUGUUGUAUAUAUUGUGAGUAUUGUUGUUAUUAAAAUAUACAGGCCAAUGGAAAAUAUUAGCUUAGUUAAGAGUUCCUUUUGACGUUCGACUCAAUGUAGUCAACAACCAUUCCUAUAUUCUAAGCACGCAGGACACUUGCCCCGAUUAGUCUAGAUUCCUGCAUACUCCUCCAUUUCACUCGGUACAAAAUUUCCUGUGGAUAACCUACGCCUAAAUGAUCAAUACAGCUUUCGGGCAUUAGAUGCCGGAUGAAUCCGUUGAAAUUGAUCCCACUCCUAAUAAUAUACUACUUAUAUACGCCACCCAAUAGUCCAUUAUGAGCCUUGGCCUAUAUGCCCAGAUUACGCUCGCUUCUAUGAGCAUUCGUUCUCGAUUAUUACUCCAUUUUACUUUGUACAUAAUUUUCCUUGAUUGUUUUUCAAUCAUAUGGUUGGUAAAUCAACUGUGCAAACGAUGGAAAUCAUUGGCCCUACGUCAGGUACCACUGUCACUUCCUCUUCGAUAAUUUAGCUACUGCAUUACUCUGUGUUUUGUUCUUAAAAUGCUUGUGUUGAAAAUUAUAUUUAUAUUUUUUUAUUCAAAAUUCGUACUUUUGAAGGUUUCUUCGUAGUCGUCCUCAAUUAGUAGGUCCCAGUACCACAUAGUUUAUAAAGCUGCGAGUACUAUGAGACUAUGUACUGAAAAAUCAACUCAGGAAACAAGACAAUUAAUUGGACCUACGUCAGGUACAACUGUCACUUCCUUUUCAAUAUUUUAGCUACUGCAUUUCUCUAAGUUUUGUUCUUGAAAUGCUUGUGUUGUAUAUAUUGUGAAUAUUGUUAUUCUUAAAAUAUACAAACGUUUGAUUCAAAUUAAUCAACAAUCAUUUCGAUCUUGGAAGCACGCAGGACACUUGGCUCGAUUAGUCUAGAUUCCUGCAUACUCCUCCAUUUCUCUCUGUACAAAAUUUCCUGUGGAUAACCUACGACCAAAUGAUGAAUACAGCAUUCGGGCUCUAGAUGCCGGGUGAACCCGUUGAAAUUGAUCCCACUCCUAAUGAACUCUUUCAUAUAUAAGCCCCCCAAUAGUCCAUGAAGAGCCUUGGCUUAUAUGCCCACAUUACGCUCACUUCUAUGAGUAUGGGUUCUCGGAUAUGACUCCAUUUUACUUUGUACAUAGUUUUCCUUGAUUGUUUUUCAACCAUAUGGUUGGUAAAUCAACUGUGCAAACGAUGGAAAUCAUUGGCCCUACGUCAGGUACCACUGUCACUUCCUCUUCGAUAUGAUAGCUAUUGCAUUUCUCUGUGUUUGUUCUUGAAAUGCUUGUGUUGAUUACAUUGUGAGUAUUGUUGUUAUUAAAAUAUACAAACCAAUGGAAAAUAUUAGCGUAGUUAAGAGUUCCUUUUGACGUUCGACUCAAAGUAGUCAACAACAAUUUCGAUAUUGUAAGCACGCAGGAUACUUGCCUCGAUUACUCUAGAUUCCUGAAUAUUCCUCCAUUUCACUCGGUACAAAAUUUCCUGUGGAUAACCUACGACCAAAUGAUGAAUACAGCAUUCGGGCUCUAGAUGCCAGGUGAACCCGUUGAAAUUGAUCCCACUCCUUAUGAACUCUUUCAUAUAUACGCCCUCCGAUAGUCCAUGAAGAGCCUUGGCUUAUAUGCCCACAUUACGCUCGCUUCUAUGAGUAUGGGUUCUCGGAUAUUACUCCAUUUUACUUUGUACAUAGUUUUCCUUGAUUGUUUUUCAACCAUAUGGUUGGUAAAUCAACUGUGCAAACGAUGGAAAUCAUUGGCCCUACGUCAGGUACCACUGUCACUUCCUCUUCGAUAAUUUAGCUACUGCAUUUCUCUGUGCUUUGUUCUUAAAAUGCUUGUGUUGUAUAUAUUGUGAAUAUUGUUAUUCUUAAAAUAUACAAACGUUUGAUUCAAAUUAAACAACAAUCAUUUCGAUCUUGUAAGCACGCAGGACACUUGGCUCGAUUAGUCUAGAUUCCUGCAUACUCCUCCAUUUCUCUCUGUACAAAAUUUCCUGUGGAUAACCUACGACCAAAUGAUGAAUACAGCAUUCGGGCUCUAGAUGCCGGGUGAACCCGUUGAAAUUUAUCCCACUCCUAAUGAAUUCUUUAAUAUAUAAGCCCCCCAAUAGUCCAUGAAGAGCCUUGGCUUAUAUGCCCACAUUACGCUCGCUUCUAUGAGUAUGGGUUCUCGGAUAUUACUCCAUUUUACUUUGUACAUAGUUUUCCUUGAUUGUUUUUCAACCAUAUGGUUGGUAAAUCAACUGUGCAAACGAUGGAAAUCAUUGGCCUUACGUCAGGUACCACUGUCACUUCCUCUUCGAUAUGGUAGCUAUUGCAUUUCUCUGUGUUUUUUCUUGAAAUGCUUGUGUUGAGAAUUAUAUUUAUAUUUUUUUAUUCAAAAUUCGUACUUUCGGAGGUUUCUUCGUAGGCUUCCUCACUUAGUAUGUCCCAGUACCACAGAGUUUCUAAAGCUGCGAGUACUAUGAGUCGAAGUACUGAAAAAUAAACUCAGGGAACAAGAAAAAUCAUUGGCCCUACGUCAGGUACCACUGUCACUUCCUCUUCGAUAAUUUAGCUACUGCAUUUCUCUGUGUUUUGUUCUUGAAAUGCUUGUGUUGAUUACAUUGUGAGUAUUGUUGUUAUUAAAAUAUACAAACCAAUGGAAAAUAUUAGCGUAGUUAAGAGUUCCUUUUGACGUUCGACUCAAAGUAGUCAACAACCAUUUCGAUAUUGUAAGCACGCAGGAUACUUGCCUCGAUUACUCUAGAUUCCUGAAUAUUCCUCCAUUUCACUCGGUACAAAAUUUCCUGUGGAUAACCUAC